GGCGAGUGGCGAACGGGUGAGUAAUGCAUCGGAACGUGCCCAUCGAUGGGGGAUAACUGCGCGAAAGCGUUGCUAAUACCGCAUACGACCUACGGGUGAAAGCAGGGGACCGCAAGGCCUUGCGUCGAUGGAGCGGCCGAUGCCGGAUUAGCUAGUUGGUGAGGUAAAGGCUCACCAAGGCGACGAUCCGUAGCUGGUCUGAGAGGACGACCCAGCCACACUGGGACUGAGACACGGCCCAGACUCCUACGGGAGGCAGCAGUGGGGAAUCUUGGACAAUGGGCGAAAGCCUGAUCCAGCAAUGCCGCGUGUGGGAAGAAGGCCCUCGGGUUGUAAACCACUUUUGGCGGGAAAGAAAUGGUCUGUGCUAAUACCACGGAUUGAUGACGGUACCCGCAGAAUAAGCACCGGCUAACUACGUG
RNAcentral lists this ribosomal RNA (422 nucleotides) under uncultured bacterium. RNAcentral's name for it is "bacterial SSU rRNA". It matches the Rfam family "Bacterial small subunit ribosomal RNA", at positions 90 to 507 of the family's 1533-position model. The record is from RNAcentral.